RNAcentral lists this long non-coding RNA (1664 nucleotides) under Homo sapiens (human). Its description in RNAcentral is "HSALNT0300076". The record is from RNAcentral. Lineage: Eukaryota; Metazoa; Chordata; Mammalia; Primates; Hominidae.
AAACUUCACUCGGAAGUGCUUCAGCGCCUCCUCUGUUUUCCCCGGUGCCAGGGAGUCCUUGAGAUACCGGAUGUCUUUGGAGCAGCUGAGCUCAGGCAGGCCUGCUGCCUGCAUCAGGGCAAAGAGGUGGAGGAAGAGAAGCCCGUGGCGCCGCAGGAUGGUGUUAGGCCCUUUCACAGUAGCCCCGGAACCUUUCAAAUUUCUCAUAUUAUUAGUCUUCCCCUGCUCAAUCACAUGGACAAAGUCAUAGUGUGAAACUACAACUGUGUUUAUAAGGAGGAUGCCACUGGAAAUGAAUUCUGCUCAAAGAAUGAACUCUCUACACACAUCAUCUUUCUCUCACAGACAUCAUACCACCUCAAGCACUGCAGCCUCAAAAGGGGAAAUUCCUGAGUGAUUCUUCUUGAAGCUUAAAUUCUGUGGGAUUUUUAUGGUGGAAAACUUAGGAGAGGAACCAGACAGCCCAUCUAGGAGCUGAUACUCUUCUAGUGAAGACCACCCUUGCAGGAAAGCAUCUGUCCUCCCAGAAUCCGGAUGUUAGGUUUGAGAAUUUACUAAUGUGUGACUUCUCUGAAACAAUUUAUUUAGGAAAAAAGGUUGAAUAAAUAUAUACUCAAUAAAAGUAUUGCAAAAAUUAAAUAAAUCACAUAGGUAAAGGUUGUCUAAAUGGGAAAUUCCUUCAGACAAACAGGGAUUUUUAAUUGUGACCACCAUUGUGUUUGUUAUCCAUUGCCACAGUCAUCUGGGACAGAAUGCAAUCACAAACUCCUUACUGACUUAAGAAAACAAGCAUUUACUUAAUCCAAACAUAGGUCUGAGGGAGGCCGAGCCAUUUUUCUGCUCUCAGCUGGGCUCACUCAUGAAUCUGCAGCUACCAAUGUGAUCCAGGCAGCUCAACACAUGGAAGGUGGGCUUGCUGGGCAGUGCCCCCUGGUCUCAGCUGGAGGAACCAGUCUCCCCCAUGGUGUGUGUCAUCCACCAACAGGAUGUCCCAGGCUUGGUUUCAUGCUGACGGUGAUUUAUCAACACUGUAAGCAGAACCGUGAAAGGUGUCUUGAGGCCAGGUGCAGGAGCAACACAGUGUCCCCUCAGCUGCAUUGUCUUGGUCAAAACUAGCCACGAGGCCAGCCCAGAUUGGAAAUAUGAGAAGGAGAAGCAACUUCUUGAUGGCAAGACCUGCAAAGUCACAUUGCAGCGGGCAUGGAUACCCUCAGAGGAUUCAAAAAUUGUGGCUGCUUUUGAAAUCAAUCCACUACAUUCAUUAAAUAUAAUAUGUAUAUCAAAGGAUCACAGAAUAAAAUAAAUUUAAAUUGGAUGAAUACUGUCGCUGGAAAGAAGAUAAUAUUUUGGAGAAGACAGACAGUCUUGAAUCUGCCAUGGCUCAUAACAGAACCUGGGAAAAUUUAAGGAAUGAAAACAAAGGUGAUUAGUGAAGGGUCAACACACUCAUGGAUUUAUUACAUCAUCUGGCACUAGGAAGUCCUUCAGUUUCCACACUGAGCACGUGGAUGGGCAAUGAGUAUUUAAUAGUCUAUAUUUCUAGGUGGAACAGUCUUAAACCUUUAUUAAACUUUAGUAUUUUUAUUUGAUACCUCCCAUCUCCAUAGGUGGCUGCAACUCUAUUUCAUAGAACAUAAACAAAUUCCUUCUUACAGUGCUGUAUU